This 332-nucleotide ribosomal RNA is filed under the name uncultured eukaryote. RNAcentral's name for it is "bacterial SSU rRNA". It matches the Rfam family "Bacterial small subunit ribosomal RNA", at positions 584 to 914 of the family's 1533-position model. The record is from RNAcentral.
UAAGUCUACUGUUAAAUGUUAAGGCUUAACCUUAAAAGAGCGGUAUGAAACUAAAAAGCUUGAGUUUUAGUAGAGGUAGAGGGAAUUCUCGGUGUAGUGGUGAAAUGCGUAGAGAUCGAGAAGAACACCAGUUGCGAAAGCGCUCUGCUGGGCUAAUACUGACACUGAGAGACGAAAGUAGGGGAGCAAAAUAGGAUUAGAUACCCUAGUAGUCCUAGCUGUAAACGAUGGAUACUAAGUGUUGGACUUGAAAAUAGUUCAGUGCUGUAGCUAACGCGUUAAGUAUCCCGCCUGGGAAGUAUGCUCGCAAGAGUGAAACUCAAAUGAAUGAC